RNA transcript from Harmonia axyridis, 1365 nucleotides. RefSeq lists it as uncharacterized. Lineage: Eukaryota; Metazoa; Arthropoda; Insecta; Coleoptera; Coccinellidae. The record is from RefSeq and is a predicted model, not a curated record. The transcript has 3 exons.
UCUGUGUAAGAACCUAACCUAAGUUAUCGUUAACGCUCUUUGAUUGUUGUUGUUAUUGGUGAUCUUUGAAUUAGUGUAGGUGAAAUCAUUUCCAAGUUCCAAUAUUACCAAUUCUUUUUCAUUGUUUUAUGAUUGCCCUACUGCAUUAGAAAAGAAUUCUAUUUGACGAGAAACAUUUUUUCGUUUUGUUAUGGAAUCAGAUAAUGAAAUGAAAUUUUCCAGACUCUUUGGGGUGUAGAUUUCGAAUCCGAAGUCAACAAACUGCAAUCGCACUUGGUUAUUCGAAAAAUAUAUAUAUAUUUUCACCAAGCAUACCACUACAGGAUGUCCAGAAAUAGUAGGUCCUGAAAUAGUAUGUCAUCUACAUAAUUUUAAUGGUUGUGAAUGGAGAGGACAAUCGGAAGAUAUGUUGGAACAUUGUAUGACAAAGCAUGCCAGGUUUGUUCGAGAAGGUUACGAGCAGAAAUAUACUAUUGAAAAAUUCAGGUCAAUCAACAUUGCAAAAGAUUUUCCACAUAUCAUUCAAGCACAUGGAAAUCUAUUUCUGCUGUGGUUGCGAAAAUAUCCAAGUGGUAUGAUGACCCUUCGUGCAUAUUGCUUGGAAUCUUGUGAGUCUUAUUUGAAAUGUAAAAUAUUCAUUGAAUUCCAAGAUAAAGUAGAAGUAAAGUUGGAUUGUUAUCCAUUACAUUAUUAUCUUCACCCUUUUCGUUGUGGAGAUGACCAUAAAUUCAAAAUAAAUGGUGAACAAUAUUUAGGAGAUGCAGAAAAUUUGUCUUAUAAAAUCAUAAUUGAAGUUGAAGAUACAUCAUUGCACAAUCUUCUACAAUAUUCACAUUUAAUGUGGAUAGACGAUGAUGAGAUUGUUUUGGAGCAGUGAGAUUUGAAAUCAUAUCAAUGAAGAAAUUUCAUAAUGAUACACACCUGUUAUUAGAUGUACCCUUGCCUGCCUCCGUUGAUAACCCCAUAAAAGGAUAUUGGCUGCAUCAGACUCGGAGAAAUCUCAACAACCAAAUGUUGACAACUCAUCAAAAAGAAUAUGAAAUUUUGAAGAACACAGGUAUUAAUUUCAUGUAAUAUCAACAGAAUAGUCAUCAAUGAAGUUGAAUCAUAACCAUUGUUAAGUAUAACUUAUGUCAAAUAAAUAAGAAAAAUGUUCAGUAAUACUUUAAAUUUCUUACAAUUUCCAUAAUGAAUUUGGAAAUAUUCUUUCAAAACAUGAAAUAUUAUCACUUAUUGUUAUAUAGUUCUUUUAAGAUGAUUUGUAUAAACUAGAAAUUGACUUUAUUUUACAGAAUUUCAUUGUAAAUUUAUAAUUGAAUGUCUCAUUUAAUUCAGAUAGUUGCUAAUAAAAUGAUUAAAAUCAAA